Molecule: non-coding RNA, 564 nt
Organism: Chlorocebus sabaeus (green monkey)
Lineage: Eukaryota; Metazoa; Chordata; Mammalia; Primates; Cercopithecidae
Source: RefSeq, a predicted model, not a curated record
GUCUGAAAGGAGAUGAGGCCAACUGCUGCUGUUUCCAGAGGACAAACAAGUCCAUGCAAAUGCUAUGCAAAUAUUAUGCAAAUAUUAAGCAAAGGAGCUCUGGUGGCUCAAACACACUCCUCACUCCAGGCCAGCAAGGGGCUGAGGACCUAUGCCAGUCCAGCCUCUCUGAGGACCCCUUGGGGACUGCUGCCCACCCCUCCCCUGGGGACCCUGGUUCUUCCUGGGCCCCCCAGGAGCAAUGGGCCCAGGCCCACCUCCUGCGCACACCCACCCUGAUGUAGUCGGCUCCAGGCCCACUGUCAUUCUUGUCGAGCAGGAUGACUCAGGUGGUGUCAACUGGGAAGGGAGGUGCCGCUCAGUUCUCCAGGGCAGAGCUCGUGGGCCCAACCCUGCCUCUUUGCCUGCGGACCCCGUGGAUACAGGAACCGGCAUUCCUGCUGCUACAGCAUCUGGAGGUGAUGGAGCCUUCAGUUCACAGCCCUGGCUCCUUCCCAGAGCCCUAGAUGGCCAACCCCACCUUGUCCUGUGUGGACAGAAGAGGACCUAGGUGCUGAGGCAAGA